CUACCCUUGACAUGCCAGGGAGCCCGAUGAGAGUUGGGUGUGCCCGAAAGGGAACCUGGACACAGGUGCUGCAUGGCUGUCGUCAGCUCGUGUCGUGAGAUGUUGGGUUAAGUCCCGCAACGAGCGCAACCCUUGUCACUAGUUGCUACGGAUAGGGCACUCUAGUGAGACUGCCGGUGACAAACCGGAGGAAGGUGGGGAUGACGUCAAGUCCUCGGGGCCCUUAUGGGUAGGGCCUCACACGUCAUACAAUGGCGCAUACAGAGGGUUGCCAACCCGCGAGGGGGAGCCAAUCCCAGAAAGUGCGUCGUAGUCCGGAUUGUUCUCUGCAACUCGAGAGCAUGAAGUCGGAAUCGCUAGUAAUCGCGGAUCAGCAUGCCGCGGUGAAUACGUUCCC
Molecule: ribosomal RNA, 397 nt
Filed under: uncultured bacterium
Lineage: Bacteria
Description: bacterial SSU rRNA
Rfam family: Bacterial small subunit ribosomal RNA
Source: RNAcentral